UCUAGUAAGAGUGGCAGUUGAA
Molecule: microRNA, 22 nt
Filed under: Pteropus alecto (black flying fox)
Lineage: Eukaryota; Metazoa; Chordata; Mammalia; Chiroptera; Pteropodidae
Description: pal-miR-628-3p
Gene: pal-miR-628-3p
Source: miRBase by way of RNAcentral